CCUACGGUGGCUGCAGUGGGGAAUAUUGGACAAUGGGCGAAAGCCUGAUCCAGCCAUGCCGCGUGUGUGAAGAAGGCCUUCGGGUUGUAAAGCACUUUCAGUGGGGAAGAAAGCCUUGGGGCUAAUACCCUCGAGGAAGGACAUCACCCACAGAAGAAGCACCGGCUAACUCCGUGCCAGCAGCCGCGGUAAUACGGAGGGUGCGAGCGUUAAUCGGAAUUACUGGGCGUAAAGCGCGCGUAGGCGGUCUGAUAAGCCGGUUGUGAAAGCCCCGGGAUCAACCUGGGAACGGCAUCCGGAACUGUCAGGCUAGAGUGCAGGAGAGGAAGGUAGAAUUCCCGGUGUAGCGGUGAAAUGCGUAGAGAUCGGGAGGAAUACCAGUGGCGAAGGCGGCCUUCUGGACUGACACUGACGCUGAGGUGCGAAAGCGUGGGUAGCAAACAGGAUUAGAUACCCUUGUAGUC
Molecule: ribosomal RNA, 464 nt
Filed under: Vreelandella stevensii
Lineage: Bacteria; Pseudomonadati; Pseudomonadota; Gammaproteobacteria; Oceanospirillales; Halomonadaceae
Description: partial 16S ribosomal RNA
Rfam family: Bacterial small subunit ribosomal RNA
Source: RNAcentral